RNAcentral lists this ribosomal RNA (440 nucleotides) under uncultured bacterium. RNAcentral describes it as "partial 16S ribosomal RNA". It matches the Rfam family "Bacterial small subunit ribosomal RNA", at positions 338 to 795 of the family's 1533-position model. The record is from RNAcentral.
CCUACGGGAGGCUGCAGUGGGGGAUAUUGCACAAUGGGGGGAACCCUGAUGCAGCGACGCCGCGUGGGUGAAGAAGCGCCUCGGCGCGUAAAGCCCUUUCAGCAGGGAAGAAAAUGACGGUACCUGAAAAAGUAGCCCCCGCUAACUACGUUCCAACAGCCGCGGGAAUACGUAGGGGGCAAGCGUUAUCCGGAUUUACUGGGUGUAAAGGGGGCGCAGACGGGGAUGCAAGCCAGGAGUGAAAUCCGGGGGCCCAACCCCGGGACUGCGCUUGGAACUGCGUGGCUGGAGUGCAGGAGGGGCAGGCGGAAUUCCUGGUGUAGCGGUGAAAUGCGUAGAUAUCAGGAGGAACACCGGUGGAGAAGGCGGCCUGCUGGACUGCAACUGACGUUGAGGCCCGAAAGCGUGGGGAGCAAACAGGAUUAGAUACCCGGGUAGUC